This 396-nucleotide ribosomal RNA is filed under the name Streptomyces sp. Its description in RNAcentral is "bacterial SSU rRNA". It matches the Rfam family "Bacterial small subunit ribosomal RNA", at positions 1001 to 1393 of the family's 1533-position model. Lineage: Bacteria; Bacillati; Actinomycetota; Actinomycetes; Kitasatosporales; Streptomycetaceae. The record is from RNAcentral.
CAGAGAUGGUGCCCCCCUUGUGGUCGGUGUACAGGUGGUGCAUGGCUGUCGUCAGCUGUGGGGGGGAUGUUGGGUUAAGUCCCGCAACGAGCGCAACCCUUGUCCCGUGUUGCCAGCAAGCCCUUCGGGGUGUUGGGGACUCACGGGAGACCGCCGGGGUCAACUCGGAGGAAGGUGGGGACGACGUCAAGUCAUCAUGCCCCUUAUGUCUUGGGCUGCACACGUGCUACAAUGGCCGGUACAAUGAGCUGCGAUACCGCGAGGUGGAGCGAAUCUCAAAAAGCCGGUCUCAGUUCGGAUUGGGGUCUGCAACUCGACCCCAUGAAGUCGGAGUCGCUAGUAAUCGCAGAUCAGCAUUGCUGCGGUGAAUACGUUCCCGGGUCUUGUACACACCGA